Molecule: ribosomal RNA, 155 nt
Filed under: uncultured Acaulosporaceae
Lineage: Eukaryota; Fungi; Glomeromycota; Glomeromycetes; Diversisporales; Acaulosporaceae
Description: 5.8S ribosomal RNA
Rfam family: 5.8S ribosomal RNA
About the family: 5.8S ribosomal RNA (5.8S rRNA) is a component of the large subunit of the eukaryotic ribosome.
Source: RNAcentral
UAACUUUCAACAACGGAUCUCUUGGCUCUUGCAUCGAUGAAGCAACGCAGCUAAAUGCGAUAGGUAAUGUGAAUGCAGAAUUCCGUGAAUCAUCAAAUUUUUGAACGCAAAUUGCACUCUCUGGUAUUCCGGGGAGUUAUACUUGCUUGAGGGUU